Long non-coding RNA from Salvia miltiorrhiza (redroot sage), 3227 nucleotides. RefSeq lists it as uncharacterized. Lineage: Eukaryota; Viridiplantae; Streptophyta; Magnoliopsida; Lamiales; Lamiaceae. The record is from RefSeq and is a predicted model, not a curated record. The transcript has 3 exons.
UAUAUGAAAACACAGUUUGUGGCAAUUCUGUAAAUAAAAUUAUAUGAAGGGUUAUUCAACUAAAGCUGCACAGCCUGUUAAACCACCUAUUUAGCACGUUUUAGUUAAACUAAACCCACUAAGAGUCAAAUAAAAUCUCAAUAUAAUUUAACAAAUAUAACAAAACCCACGGAUGAGUCAAACUAAACCCACUAAGAGUCAAAUAAAAUUUCAACAUAAUUUGUUAAAUAUAUUAAAUUUAUUAAAAUAUUAAAAUUAAAAUACAAUAAUACACUAACAAAAAAAGAACAACAGAGGCAAAAUAGUCCCCACUAUCUACGAGAUAAUAAAAUAUUAAAAUACAAUAAUACACCCACUACUAAAUAUGCAUACAUCCACUAACAUUACAACUACUCAUUAGUAACUGACUGCUUUAGCAAUAUAAAAAUACGUACAUAUUAAUAAAAAAUAAUACACGCAAACCUACAAACAUAUACUUUCUUCUGCAAGCUUUCGUAUGCAGCAUUCUCUACAGGAAAAUAUGCCUCCACUUUUUGGUGUUGUCAAAGAGUUGCAGCCAGGAAAGAGCAAGAUUGCCUUAGAGCUUCGUCUGAUUCGCUCCUAUGAUGUUCUGAGAUUCAACAGUAAAAUCCCAUUAUCACUUGAAUGUGUCUUCCAUGAUAAAGAGGUUACAAAAUAUACUUUCUCAUUACUUUUCAUUAAUUUUCGAUAGGUUUUCAUGCUUUGAUAUUUUUUAAUUUAAAUCGCAGGGUAAUAGAGUUCAUGCGACUGUGAAUCAAUCUUCCAUCACAAUUAUGAAGCCAUUGCUAAAUGAAGGAAAUGUGUAUGCAGUCAAGGAUUUUGUGACUACAAACAACACAAUGAAGUUUAGAACCACAGAUUGCAAAUACAAGAUGCUUUUAUUCAGGCAAACUCAUAUUGUUGAAGUGGAGGAUGAUUCGUUUCCAAAUCUCAAAUACAAUUUUAUGAGCUACAGCGAGGUGGCAAAUCCCAUAUUAUUUGGUAAAUUGAAAAAUCAGUUUCUAAUCCCAUAUUAUAUUUUCAGAAUUUUAAAAUAUUUUAUAUGUUGAAUGCAGAUAUAAUAGGAGUCAUUGUUUCAAGCUAUCAACCGGUGAUCAAAGAUCAUAAUGGAAAAGCAACACAGCUCAUGGAAAUAGUUGUUGAAGAUCUAGAGGGAAGAACACUUUCUUGCACUCUAUGGGAGGAAUAUGCAGAAAAAAUGUUUCACUAUCUUAGUGAUGAACCAAAAACGCCCAACAAUCUACAAAGGUCAGAUUUUUUAACAUAUAAAUCAUAUAUUUCUAAAAAAUUACUAUUUACUUAUGUAUAAAAUUAUAUGCAGGAGAGGUUCGAAUUACAAGCUGUUACAAUGUAACAAACAUUAUUACAGAUGAAAAUGUUGCAGAAAUCAAGCAAAUGAAAGAAGAUUGGGGCAGAAUUAAAAAAGACAAGGACAUAUCUUUGAAGCUUAUGAAAAUUCCAUCAUAUCGUACCAUAGAAGAUGAACUUAAUGAUGGAAUAUCAAUGCUAAAGAUGAUUUCUGAACUAGGGGAUGGAAAGGUAUUAUUAAUAGAACAUUUUAUUUAGAUAUGAUAUACUGAUUGAAUUAGAAUUAUUUUAAUAGUGUAUUUUGGUCACUACUAUUUAAUAGGCUGGCACGUUUUGGAUUUAUGGUACAAUAUUUGCUGUUGAAACACUUGGAGCAUGGGCAUAUUUGAGUUGCAAACAAUGUAGUAAAAAGCUGAAAGUGGCCGAUGAUUCAUUUUUUUGUGAAAGUUGUGAAAGCUUUGAUGUUGAAGGGAGAUUAAGGUAGAUUCCUAAUUUUUUUAUAUAAAAAAAACGUUUUUAAAAAGAUAGGUUAUGACCAAGUAAAUUGUUUAUUAUGACAGAUACAAAUUAAGAGUUUGUGUUGCUGAUGAUUCUGUAAGUUGUUUACAGAUAAAUCAAUUUUUAAUAUUUAUUCGCAAUCUGUUUUUUUCAUUCACUAAUAAUAUGUAAAUCUAACAUUUCGUAGGCAUACGAAACUACAGAUUUGCCUUUUGAGAUAGAUGCAAUGGCGGGCAAAACAGCAUUGUUUAAAAUUGUUAUAAAGCCUGGAGAAACAAAAAUGUUUGACAAUGCUUAUGCUGUGAGCAAGAUUAAUUGUGAUCCACAUAUGAUUGAAAAAUAUUGUGGACCACAUGUGAAAAAUGGACGGCCUGGAACUAAGGUAAAAUAAAUUUCAAAUAUGUCAAGAAUUUAUUUCGAUUUAUUUUUGUUCUAUCACUUUAAGUUUAUAUAAUUGAUAAAUUAUUUUCAGGAAGGAGAAGGUUCUAGCAAUGCACAUUCAGUUACAACAGCAAUCAACUUGAGUGAAGAUGAGCCAAUGAAGAAGAAAAUGGAUGAUGAUAAUCGUGGACCCACAAUUGUGAAAAAGAAAAGCAAAAGAAUUGUCAUCAAGCAAGAGAAGCCUUGAGAAUAGUUCAUUUUAUGCUCCUAUGUAGUGUCUGCAGUUUUAUUAUUAUAGGAUAGGAUAGGAUUUGAAAUUUAUUCUUUAUCUUCCAUAGACAAGUACUCUUUUUCCACUUUCUUUUGAAGUGGUUUUAAUUAAGCUUGGCCCUUAAUUAGUCUUUAUGCUAUUAAGGGUUUUAGGGUCUAUUAGUUUUCUUAAAUUUCUUAGGAUUUGAAAUUUCUAAUUUAGGAUUUGAUAUUACUUACAAAAGUUGUUCACUGCAUUGGAGAUUUAAUAUAUUUUGAUUAUCAUUACGAUGGACUUCAUAGAAAAAAGCAUUAAUUUCUGUAUCUUCUUAAAACUUAUAUAAUAAGCACUGUCAAACAAAUAACAAAGCAGAAAACAUAAAUAAAAUGCAAUUCGAACAUAUCUAAAGAAAUUAAAUAUUGCAAAUACCAUCAUAAUUAAAACAUGCAAAUAAAGCAUGUUUUUUACUAAUAACUUAAUAAGUCACGCUGCUGAUAAAAUAAACAAUUUAUCAAAUCUAAUUAAUACGUUACCCAUAUAAAUCCAAUAUUUAGUCAUAACACAAUCACAAUACAUAUAAUAAAUAAUAAAUGUACAAAAGUAAAGCCACAAAAAGAAAUAUAAUCCUUAUUAUUUAAAAGUUGACCACAUUGCACUUAUAUGUAAUACCGAUGACAAUGACCCAUGAAAAUUAAUGACCACAAGUAAUAUUAGCAAAAAUUAAAAAAAUUCAGAUACAAAAGAACAAAAAUAGUGAUAUUUACCAAGU